AUAUAUUGAGCACAACAAUGCCCUUGCUUCAACCUGAAUUAUAGAACCAACAGAACCCCCAAGAGAAAACAGAGAGAAAAUGGGAAGCAAAACGUCGAUUCGCCAAUUGGCUCCUAAAGUUGUGUUCUUCUUGAUCAUCAUGUUCAUGAGUUCGAUCCCAGUGAACUCAAUAACAUGUCAGGAUGCCUUGCCACCUUUACUUCCAUGUUUAUCAUUUGCUACGGGCGCAGUUCCGCCUCCACCGAGUGCCAACUGUUGUUCGGGUGCGCAAACCUUGGCGAGCAAGGUGACUACCACCGAAGAUCGCCGGACUCUGUGCAAAUGUUACCAGAGCAUUCCGCCUUCCAUAGGGAUCAAGCCUGACAGAAUCCAAGCGAUCCCUCAGUAUUGCAAGGUUAACGUCACCAUCCCAACAGACCCUCACGCUGAUUGCAACAGCAUUCCGUGAAGGACGAAAUCUUCAGAUGGGUCCUGAUUUUCAAGUCCGGACGUUUGAGGAGACACAGAGUUUGACACAUUGCCGCUGUCUUUACAUUUUCAUGUAACAAUCGAAUAAGCAAUGUCAAUAAAGAGUUCGUAACUUUCUUA
Molecule: long non-coding RNA, 588 nt
Organism: Syzygium oleosum
Lineage: Eukaryota; Viridiplantae; Streptophyta; Magnoliopsida; Myrtales; Myrtaceae
Exons: 2
Source: RefSeq, a predicted model, not a curated record